GGGGGUGUACUGGUUUCGACGGGGGAUUGCGGUGGCUUGAGAAGCGAGUCGAGGUCGCACUAGCUCGUAAAACGGUGCACAAAAAGUAAACGCAGACAGAAAUUACGCUUUAGCUGCUUAAUUGCAGGCUAACCUCCUACCUACCUUUGCCUGCGAGGCGGGAUAGGGGGUCACACUAGCAGGCUACUCUUAAGUGAGCGCCGUGUAGCUUAAGGGGAAACCAACAUGGCUGGCUUUAAGAAAUCCUGUUUGUGGGAGUUCUUAGGGCGAGAAUGUAAAACACAAACUACACUCGUAGAAGCUCAAGUGGCUGGUCCUUCGGACAGGGGUUCGACUCCCCUCACCUCCACCA
This 352-nucleotide transfer-messenger RNA is filed under the name Clostridia bacterium. It matches the Rfam family "transfer-messenger RNA". From Rfam's summary of the family: Bacterial tmRNA, also known as 10Sa RNA or SsrA, is named for its dual tRNA and mRNA-like properties. Its role is to liberate the mRNA from a stalled ribosome. To accomplish this part of the tmRNA is used as a reading frame that ends in a translation stop signal. RNAcentral also lists the same sequence under 1 other name. Lineage: Bacteria; Bacillati; Bacillota; Clostridia. The record is from RNAcentral.